Molecule: ribosomal RNA, 253 nt
Filed under: uncultured bacterium
Lineage: Bacteria
Description: partial 16S ribosomal RNA
Rfam family: Bacterial small subunit ribosomal RNA
Source: RNAcentral
UACAGAGAUCCCGAGCGUUGUUCGGAUUCACUGGGCGUAAAGGGUGCGUAGGUGGCCUAAAAAGUUUGAUGUGAAAGCUCAGGGCUUAACCCUGAAAUGGCAUUGAAUACUGUUGGGCUGGAGGUUUGGAGGGGGGACUGGAAUUCUUGGUGUAGCAGUGAAAUGCGUAGAUAUCAAGAGGAACACCAGUGGCGAAGGCGGAUCUCUGAGCCUUGCCUGACGCUGAGGCGCGAAAGCUAGGGGAGCGAACAGG